GAUGAACGCUAGCGGCAGGCUUAACACAUGCAAGUCGAGGGGUAACAGGGGUUAGUUUACUAAUUUGCUGACGACCGGCGCACGGGUGAGUAACGCGUAUACAAUUUACCUUUUACAGGGGAAUAGCCCAGAGAAAUUUGGAUUAAUGCCCCAUAGUAUUGAUUGGUCACCUGGCCGAUUGAUUAAAGUUCCGGCGGUAAAAGAUGAGUAUGCGUCCUAUUAGCUAGAUGGUAAGGUAACGGCUUACCAUGGCGACGAUAGGUAGGGGUCCUGAGAGGGAGAUCCCCCACACUGGUACUGAGACACGGACCAG
RNAcentral lists this ribosomal RNA (313 nucleotides) under uncultured Lutimonas sp. Its description in RNAcentral is "bacterial SSU rRNA". It matches the Rfam family "Bacterial small subunit ribosomal RNA", at positions 28 to 334 of the family's 1533-position model. The record is from RNAcentral. Lineage: Bacteria; Pseudomonadati; Bacteroidota; Flavobacteriia; Flavobacteriales; Flavobacteriaceae.